GGAAGGAUCAUUACAAAUCUAAGGCCGCCAUCAUUUUGGUGGUGGGUCUAUAUGUUCGAGGCAGCAAUGCUUCGUUACAUUUACGCUUGUAUGUUUGACUGAGUUAGUGUGAUUUUAAAUAUUGACAACUUUUAACAAUGGAUCUCUUGGCUCUUGCAACGAUGAAGAACGCAGUAAAGUGCGAAAUGUAAUGCGAUUUGCAUGAAUCUGUGAGUCAUCGAAUUUUUGAACGCAACUUGCGCCCUAUUAGGGCAUGUCUGUUUGAGUACCGCAAUCUUUUAUGCAGCAAUGCGAAUUGAUCAUGGCGUUAGGCCUUGGUUUAAAGAUAGUAUAUAGUAUCAAGCUAGAGCUUGGACACUAUGUGUUAGAGACGCAAGUCUUCUCAUAGUACCAUGCGCUAAUGCUAGAUAACAAAUACUUUUUUUUUGGUCUCAAAUCAGGCAAGACUACCCGCUGAACUUAAGCAUAUCAGUAAGCGGAGGAAAAGAAACUAACAAGGAUUCCCUCAGUAACGGCGAGUGAAGCGGGAAAAGCUCAAAUUUAAAAUCUCGACGGUCUCCGUCGCGAAUUGUAGUCUAAAGAAGGUAAUCUAUGGUAGUAUGGUUGACAAAGUCUCCUGGAAUGGAGCGCCAGAGAGGGUGAGAGCCCCGUAAAGUCAAUUGUUCUACCUUAAGUGAGAACCUUUCUAAGAGUCGAGUUGUUUGGGAAUGCAGCUCAAAGUGGGUGGUAAAUCUCAUCUAAGGCUAAAUAUUGGCAAGAGACCGAUAGCGAACAAGUACCGUGAGGGAAAGAUGAAAAGCACCUUGAAAAGGGAGUUAAAUAGUACGUGAAAUUGUUAAAAGGGAAACGAUUGAGAUCAGUGUUGGAUUAGAGACUAAACUGAUGCUUACGUGUUGGUAGCAUCUCUAAUCCGAGUCAAUGCCAGUUGUAACUGUCGAAUACGUACUCGAGGAAGGUGGAGUCUACUUCGGUCGGCUCUUUAUAGACUCGAGUGUCUGCGAUAGCCGCGAUUGGAAGAGCAGUGACGCGGGUAUUGAUCUGGCAGCUCGGUUGUUAGACAGCAUGCUGGCUAAUGACUUAACCUGACAGUAAUAUAUCAACCUAGCUACUCGCCUUUGACGAAAUGGUCUUAAACGACCCGUCUUGAAACACGGACCAAGGAGUCUAACAAUCUUGCAAGCAUUAGAGUGGCAAACUCGAGAUGCGCAAUGAAAGUGAAAGCCUGUGAGCCAUUAGGCGCAGCAGGGACCGGCCUUGAUUUAUUAUGAUAGGACCGAGUAAGAGUAAAAUUGUUGGGACCCGAAAGGCGGUGAACUAUGCCUGACUAGGGCGAAGCCAGAGGAAACUCUGGUGGAGGCUCGUAGCCGUUCUGACGUGCAAAUCGAUGGUAAAAGUUGGGUAUAGGGGCGAAAGACUAAUCGAACCGCCUAGUAGCUGGUUCCCUC
This 1445-nucleotide unclassified non-coding RNA is filed under the name uncultured fungus. RNAcentral's name for it is "sequence contains 18S rRNA gene, ITS1, 5.8S rRNA gene, ITS2, 28S rRNA gene". The stretch from base 427 to 1445 matches the Rfam family "Eukaryotic large subunit ribosomal RNA", at positions 1 to 961 of the family's 3401-position model. The record is from RNAcentral. Lineage: Eukaryota; Fungi.